GCAUAUCAAUAAGCGGAGGAAAAGAAACUAACUAGGAUUCCCUUAGUAACGGCGAGUGAACCGGGAUGAGCUCAAAUUUAAAAUCUGGCGUCUUUCAGGCGUCCGAGUUGUAAUCUAUAGAGGCGUUUUCCGCGCCGGACCGCGUCCAAGUCUCUUGGAAUAGAGUAUCAAAGAGGGUGACAAUCCCGUACUUGACGCGACAACCGGUGCUCUGUGAUACGUUCUCAAUGAGUCGAGUUGUUUGGGAAUGCAGCUCUAAAUGGGUGGUAAAUUCCAUCUAAGGCUAAAUAUUGGCGAGAGACCGAUAGCGAACAAGUACCGUGAGGGAAAGAUGAAAAGCACUUUGGAAAGAGAGUUAAACAGCACGUGAAAUUGUUAAAAGGGAAACGAUUGAAGUCAGUCGUGUGAAAGGUAUUCAGCCGUCUCUGGCGGUGUAUUUGCCUUUCACGGGUCAACAUCAGUUUGAUCCGGUAGAAAAAGGCGGGAGGAAGGUGGCACCCUCGGGUGUGUUAUAGCCUCCUGUCAUAUGUGCCGGACCAGACUGAGGAACGCAGCUUGCCGCAAGGCCGGGGUUCGCCCACGUACAAGCUAGGAUGUGACAU
RNAcentral lists this ribosomal RNA (602 nucleotides) under Vishniacozyma victoriae. RNAcentral's name for it is "partial large subunit ribosomal RNA". It matches the Rfam family "Eukaryotic large subunit ribosomal RNA", at positions 38 to 631 of the family's 3401-position model. Lineage: Eukaryota; Fungi; Basidiomycota; Tremellomycetes; Tremellales; Bulleribasidiaceae. The record is from RNAcentral.